GAUGAACGCUGGCGGCGUGCCUAAUACAUGCAAGUCGAGCGAACGGACGAGAAGCUUGCUUCUCUGAUGUUAGCGGCGGACGGGUGAGUAACACGUGGAUAACCUACCUAUAAGACUGGGGUAACAUCGGGAAACCGGAGCUAAUACCGGAUAAUAUUUUGAACCGCAUGGUUCAAAAGUGAAAGACGGUCUUGCUGUCACUUAUAGAUGGAUCCGCGCUGCAUUAGCUAGUUGGUAAGGUAACGGCUUACCAAGGCAACGAUGCAUAGCCGACCUGAGAGGGUGAUCGGCCACACUGGAACUGAGACACGGUCCAGACUCCUACGGGAGGCAGCAGUAGGGAAUCUUCCGCAAUGGGCGAAAGCCUGACGGAGCAACGCCGCGUGAGUGAUGAAGGUCUUCGGAUCGUAAAACUCUGUUAUUAGGGAAGAACAUAUGUGUAAGUAACUGUGCACAUCUUGACGGUACCUAAUCAGAAAGCCACGGCUAACUACGUG
Molecule: ribosomal RNA, 497 nt
Filed under: uncultured bacterium
Lineage: Bacteria
Description: partial 16S ribosomal RNA
Rfam family: Bacterial small subunit ribosomal RNA
Source: RNAcentral